RNAcentral lists this long non-coding RNA (22062 nucleotides) under Brassica napus (rape). Its description in RNAcentral is "long non-coding RNA (BNAP_LNC015497)". The record is from RNAcentral. Lineage: Eukaryota; Viridiplantae; Streptophyta; Magnoliopsida; Brassicales; Brassicaceae.
UUCACCAAAUUACAAGAUUACCCCUGACGAGUUUUUAACCUAAUAGUUAUAUACUUGCCUAAGUGUUAGGAGGCAGGAGAGCUUUUGGCCACCAUUGUAUUCUUAUUUUCAGCAAAGAGUUUUAGGAGAGAAAAUCAUAGAGAGAUUUGUGAUUGGAACUCCAUUGAUUCAUCUAUUCUAUUCUAUGCAGUUUUUAUCUGUAUUUUGUGUCAUGAAUUGCUUAGCUAUGUCUGAGUAGUUUACUUGUUAGAUUCAGGGUUCAAAUAGGUUAGAGGGAUAUUAGCCCCAACUAUAGAUUUGCUGAGUUGUGAUAUUCAUUGAUUGAUUGUUCUUAAUGCUUGUUUUAGCCUUGCUAACUAGAACAUGAACCUAGGAAUUUGCAUGUGUCAAGCAUCCUUGAUCAUCAUGUCCUGAAUCUAAUAUGUCAUGCUAGGACUGGUAGAGAGAGCUAACCGCAGAUCUAGGAGACUAGUGACCAUUAUCAACCCGCGCCUAGGGCUUAGCUAGAAGCUAUCGAUCGAUAUUGUCUUCUGACAAUCGAUCGAUAUUGCGAAAGGUGUAUCGAUCGAUAUCCAUAUAGGAUCAUCGAUCGACACUUUCUUGUGAUCAAAAGACGACAGUUGAGAUCCAAGAUCUAGUUAGUUAACCAGUGAAACAUUGCCAUCACUGAUCACUGUGAUUAAGGAGUUCAGCUCUAAUAUAUCAUGCAUGCAACUGUUAGGCAUCUAUAGGAUUAUAAUCUCUAACACCUGAAUAGAAACCCUGCAUCUAAUAUCUUCCAAUAAAGUUACACCCCCAAUCAUCUUGUUAGUCGAGCAAUAGACUUGCUCAAUUAGGAUUGCUAUUUACUUUUAAACCAUAAAACAACAAACACCUAGAAUUAAUAACCUGACUAGAUUUAAUAGGUUCCCUAGCUCCUUGUGGAUUCGAUCCCUAAAUACUGCAACUGAACCUCUUAUUUGAGAGAAUAAUUCACUCCUUAGGGUAAUAUGAGUGGUAUCAAAUUUGGCGCCGUUGCCGGACAGCUUUGAUCGCCAUUAGAUUUAAUAUUAUUGAUUCUUAUUCUUUUCUCUACACCCAUUCUGACACAAAAUUUUUUUCUUGUCUUUUCAGGAGCAUGCCCAGCAGUACCAGAAGCAACAUGGACAAACACAUGCUAUUCUCAGAAGAUUCUGCUCACUUGGAACGCACGAUCCGCAAAGACCAACAUUCCACAUCGCUCGACGCAGCAGCUUUCACGUCGACUGAUUCUCGCACCCAACCAUCGACCGACACCGGACCUUUAUCGUCGACCGAUCUACAUCGUUCGACAUCGAUCGUUACUACACCGCGUACAUCGAUCGAUCAUUAGUCGCGAAACAUGGUUGCGAUUGUUAUUCUCAGACAGGACAAGAAUGGAAACCUGUAUGACCAGGAUGGUCAUCUGCGUAAUGCAACAGGUCAGAAACUAGACGCUCAGGGGAAUGUAAUCCCUGAUACUGAUGCUACAGGAGCUGCUCAAAUAGAAGAGGUUGCUCGACCAAGGGCACUGGCUGACUACAAUCGUCCUGAUGAGUACUAUGCCAACAGAUCAGCUAUUCGUCUUCCAGAGAGUCAGAAGCAGAAUUUCGAGCUGAAGCCUCAGUACUACACACUCGUGUCGCAGAUACCCUACUCUGGGUUACCGCACGAGCAUCCUAUGGACUAUCUAGAGAGGUUCGAGGAUCUUAUCGCUGCUAUUCGUAUGGAUGGAGUCCCCAAGGACUACCUAUUGUGCAAGCUCUUCAAGUAUUCUCUGACUGGAGAAGCGAUGCAUUGGCUUAAGCAGCUACCCACAGGAUCUCUAACAUCCUUGGCCGACAUCAAGAAUGCUUUCUUGCGAAACUUCUUUGAUGAGGCACGCGCUGAAGACUUGAGGAGCAAAAUCGCUACAUUCGCGCAGGAGACUGGAGAGUCUUUCAAAGAUGCGUGGAUCAGAUUCAAGUUCUUCCAGCAAGACUGUCCUCACCACAGAUAAAACGAAGUGCAAUUGCUGAGCACUUUCUUCAGAGGUAUCGCCUUGAGGUAUCAGAUGGCUCUUGAUACAACUAGCAAGGGAAACUUCAACACCAGGAAUCAGGUGGAGGCUGUGAGACUGAUAGAGAAUCAAGCAAACAACAGCAGCACCAAGAACACUGACUUUGAGAGGAAGAAGUCUGUUGCAUCCCUAGGGAAGGAGCUGAUGGACGAAGUUAGGGCAAAGUUAGAUGUGGUUCAUGAGCUUCUUAGGAAGCAGGUAUGCUCAGCUGAAGGAGAAGAAGCUGUAGACAUGGAAGGAGAAGAAGAUGUGAACUACAUUGGAGGUACUGGAUUUCAGAGGUCUGGAAACCAGGGUGGAAACAGAAACUUCUAUGGCAAUGGUCAGAGGAGUAACCAGAGUUCACAGUUCCAGAAACCUUUCAGCAACAACAGCAGAUGCUAUGGAAACUCAUUCUACCAUAAUCCACCACCACAGACUCAGGAAAGCAAGAUUGAAGCAAUGCUUGACAGAGUUCUGGAAGGACAUCAACAACUCACUGUGGAUUUCAAUGGGAAGAUAGAUUCCACCUACAACAGUCUGAACACAAGAAUUGAGAGCUUAGGGACUCAGGUGAGGAAGCUUGAAAUGCAAGUGGUGCAGACUGGAGACACUGUAAAGAGGCAAGAAGCCUUGGCUAGAGAGGCAAGAGUUGAGAAAGUAAAACACCACGUAAAUGCCAUCAUCGAUGAUGAUUUCUAGCAAGUGGUGAAGCAUGAGAAGCUUGGAGAAGGAGACUUCGAAGUUGAAAGCUCCAUUAGUUUUGGCAGAUCACAUUGGUGUCGACCGAUGUCAAUGGAUAUAAAUCGCUCGACAGACCAUGACGAAGAUCGAUCGACAUAUUACUCUAAACAUCGAUCGACGUCAUCUGCUGAAUCGACGGCGGAGUGUAGUGCAAUUCGAAUCAUGACUCAUGAGGAAUUCGAAGAAAACCAUCCUCACCCACCCUCCCCUUUCUACGUCAAAAUCGAUCGACUGCAUGAGCCAGCAGUCGACCGACAGAGAGAGACCGAUAUAGAUCAACCCCCUCACCUCCCAUCGAUCGACGGGCACCUCUCACCUACCGAGUGCGGUUACCAUCUAUUGAUAAUGACCGAAUCAACACACUUAGAUCACCACCUAAACCUUUAGCAAACCCACCAGAACCUACAACCAACCCUUCAGACACUACACCAAAGCCUAUGCAAGUUGAUGAGGCAACUGAAGGAAGAAGGUUAAGGAAAAGGAAGGAGAAGAUUCCGAAGAACCUUAAGAGGGAAGCUAAUGAGAAGGAGAUGGAUGGUUUCACUUAGAGAGUCCUCAGAAUCCUAGUGGAGAAACCUUUUGAUGAAGUUUAUUUCACACACCGGUUGUGGAUGUUCUUCAGAGAGACUAAGGAGACUGAGGAGGACAUUAGGAGAAUGUUUCAUCAUGUCUGGGAAAGGAUGAAACUAAGGAUCACAUUGAAGAAAAAGAGUGAUCCUGGGAAGUUUGUAAUACCAUGUGUGGUGAAGGGUAUUGAAUUUCCCCAUGCACUUUGUGACAAAGGAACAUCAGUCAGCAUACUACCUAAGGUUAUGGCAGACCAGCUGGGUCUGAAAAUAGAGCCCUCAUCAGAAUCUUUCACCUUCGUGGACCUUUCAGAAAGAAGUUCAGGAGGCAUCAUAAGAGACUUUGAGGUACAGAUUGGUAAUGCCCUUGUCCCAGUAGAUUUUCAUGUCCUGGACAUCAAGCUUAACUAGAACUCUUCACUUCUGCUUGGAAGAGCUUUCCUGGCUACAGUGGGAGCUGUAUGUGACAUGAACACCAACAGAUUGUGUCUGACACUGAUAGAUCCAGACGUCCACUAUGACCCAGUUCGAGUUGUGAGACAACAAGUCAACCUCGUGGAGCUUGGAAAUGAUCUUGGCUACAUUGCAGCAUGCCAUUGUGGAGCAGAGUACGAAACAUAGUACUCAGAAUCGAUCGACACUCACACUGCGUCAUCGUUCGAUUCCAAUGAGUCACCGACGACCGAUGAACACUAUCCCACAUCGCUCGACGUGAAGCAUCCGGUUGACCACUUCACGUUACCAGAUCUGUGUUAUCCAAACUUUGCCUUUCAACAACCCAACAAAAGAGGACGUGAUGACUAUGCCAUAGGCAGUUGGGCAGACAGUGGAUUCCAUGAAAGUUUUGAAGUAGAGACUAUAAUUCCUUCAUCCAAUGAGGAUCCUACAGAGGAGUAUGAUGAGGAUUACUGGAAAGAAAGAGCUAUAGAGAUUGCUAUGCAGGAUGACAGAUAUUCAAGCCAUUCCUUCAACAACACGUCUCCACCAUCGAUCAACAGAGUCUACUCAGCAUCGGUCGAUACCCAUCCUCAUCCAGCAAAACGAUCUUAUGCAUCGAUCGAUACCACACUUGGUAUAAUAAAUCACUCCUGAUUCAAUAAAUAUGCUAAAUAGACUCUAGAAUAUAAAAAAUAGUUAUUAAAACACUUAUAAACCAUGGGUGAAAGUGGGUCAAAUCCAUGGUCUAUCAACUCCCCGAGACUUACCCUUUUGCUUGUCCUCAAGCAAAACACAUAGGCAGUCUCUCUGAUUCUUUAUCUAUUAUAUUAUUCAGACUAUGAUUUGUGUUAUUGAUUCUAUGUAUGAGUAAUCAUCUUGUUAGGUUUAGGGAUUUCAUGAGCUUAAUGUCAAACUGAUAAUCAAUUAGGAUUGCUAAACACCUUCGACAGUCCUAGUCUCAGAAGCACACUAUACCAUAUCCUAGUCUAGCAACCAAGUUCAUCUAGUCAACAACUUAGCAGAUCAUGUCUGACAAUCCUCUCUACCAACCUCAAUUCUUACAUAAAUAAAGUGUAGGCUUUACCUUGCGGGUAUCGAUCAUAGGAUGCAACGAUGCUCAAACAAGUAUCUGGACCUGCAGGUAAACAAUAGUUCCUAUCCUCUCUCUCUACCAAUUCUCUCUCUCAAUCAAAGUCUGUUUAUAUUGCAAAAUCAUUGACCAAGAUUGGACAGACUUCCAUGAAUCAAGCUUUAAUGGUUUUAGCCACCAAAUCAUGUUCACUUCUUUUUGACCUAUAUCCUAGGAUUAUUUGUGAAGCAAGCCUUAAUGGUUGUAGCCACCAAGUCUUGUUCUAAUCCUUUACCUAUAGAAUUCUGAUGAAGCAAGCCUUAAUGGUUGUAGCCACCAAAUCCCCGGCAACGGCGCCAAAUUUGAUCUAACUCAAAUUACCCUAAGGAGUAAAUUACUCUCUCAAAUAAGAGGUUCAGUUGUAGUACUUUAGGAUCGAAUCCACAGGGAGCUAGGGAACCUAAUGAAUCUAAUAAGAAUUGUUAAGCUAGGUGGUUUAAUGAUUUAAAUGUAAAUUUGCAGUUGUUGAGCAAGUAAUUGCUCGAUUGAUUGGUUGAGGUUUUGGUGCUUAAAAGGAAAUAGUUAGACUUAGGUUUAUAUUCAGGAAAUUUGGAAUUAUAAUCCUAUAUAUUCCUAAUAAGUUGCAUUCAUGAUAUUGUAGAGCUCAACACUUAUAAACAAACCACUAGGCUAUCGGUUUCUAGGUUCGUCUAUUGACCAGUGUCGACCGAUGAUUCUAUAUGAAUAUCGAUCGAUGCACUAUUCAAAACAUCGACCGAUUAUUCUAUUUGAAUAUCGAUCGACGCUAUUGGUCAAGCGUUAAUGCGCGGGUUGAAUGUGCACACUGGAUCAGUUCUCGCCUUACUCUAGCAAGUCUUAGCUCAAUUAGAAUGGUUUCAGGAUGACAUGAAAGCUAUUGCUUAUAUCUAACAAUCCUAAGGCAAGUUCUAGGUAGCUAAUCUAGAAUCAGGCAUUAAUGACAAUCCUAAAGAUUAAUAUCACAACUUAGCAAUAUAUAGUUGGGGCUAAUCCCUCAUAACCUAUUUAAACCCUAAAAUCUAACAAGAGAACUACUCAGAUAUGGCCAAGUAAUUCAUGAUAGCAAUAAGGAAUGAAAACUGCAUUAGAAUAAUUGAUAGAUAUUAAUGGAGUUACAAUCACAAAUAACUUUGGAUCUUCUCUCCAAUUUACUAAAAAUCCUAGAAAACCUUUGCUGUAAAAUCAGUAAAACAAGAAAACACAUUUUGCCUCUAACAUGUUGGCAAAGCUUAUAUAAUUAGGUUAAAACUCAUCAGGGGUAAUCUUGUAAAUUGGCGAAGACUUGGGCUCUAAGUCGGCUGAGACCAAACGGGAUUUCUGCGCGCUUUGCUGUCGAUCGAUGUCAAGAUGUGAACAUCGAUCGAUUAUUCCUCUUCAAUGUCGACCGGUGGUCGAGCUCGAUGGUUAUCUCGGGUGCUUACUCCAAAUUUCUCCAAAACGCUCCAAAAUAAUCGCUUUCCUCCAAAUCACUCCUGAUCCUAUAAAUAUGCUAAAUAGACUCUAGAAUAUAAUAAAUAGUUAUUAAAACACUUAUAAACCAUGAGUGAAAGUUGGUCAAAUCCAUGGUCUAUCAACUCCCCGAGACUUACGCUUUUGCUUGUCCUCAAGCAAAACACAUAGGCAGUCUCUCUGAAAGAGGUUUGAAAACAGCAGGGACUCACAUAAUUUCAAACUUAGAAUCGACACCUUAGACAGUCCAAGUCUCAGAAGCACACUAUACCAUAUCCUAGUUUAGCAACCAAGUUCAUCUAGUCAACAACUUAGCAAAUCAUGUCUGAAAAUCCCUUCUACCAACCUCAAUUCUUACAUAAAUAAAGUGUAGGCUUUACCUUGGGUGUAUCGAUCACAGGAUGCAAGGAUGCUCAAACAAGUAUCUGGACCUGCAGGUAAACAAUAGUUUCUAUCCUCUCUCUCUACUAAUUCUCUCUCUCUGUCAAAGUCUGCUUAUAUUGAAAAAUCAUUGACCAAGAUUGGACAGGCUUCCAUGAAUCAAGCUUUAAUGGUUUUAGCCACCAAAUCAUGUUCACUUCUUUUUAACCUAUAUCCUAGGAUUAUUUGUGAAGCAAGCCUUAAUGGUUGUAGCCACUAAGUCUUGUUCUAAUCCUUUACCUAUAGAAUUCUGAUGAAGCAAGCAUUAAUGGUUGUAGCCACCAAGUCCCCGGCAACGGCGCCAAAUUUGAUAUCACUCAAAUUACCCUAAGGAGUGAAUUACUCUCUCAAAUAAGAGGUUCAAUUGUAGUACUUAGGGUUCGAAUACACAGGGAGCUAGAGAACCUAAUGAAUCUAAUCAGAAUUGUUAAGCUAGGUGGGUUAAUGAUUUAAAUGUAAAUUUGUAGUUGUUGAGCAAGUAAUUGUUCGAUUGAUUGGUUGAGGUUUUGGUGCUUAAAAGGAAAUAGUUAGGCUUAGGGUUCUUAUUCAGGAAAUUUGGAAUUAGAAUCCUAUAGAUGCCUAAUAAGUUGCAUUCAUGAUAUUGUAGAGCUCAACACUUAUAAACAAACCACUAGGCUCUCGCUUUCUAGGUUUGUCUAUUGACCAGUGUCGACCGAUGAUUCUAUAUGAAUAUCGAUCGAUGCACUAUUCGAAACGUCGACCGAUUAUUCUAUUUGAAUAUCGAUCGACGCUAUUGGUCAAGCGUUAAUGCGCGGUUUGAAUGUGCUCACUAAGCUCACUAGAUCAGCUCUCGCCUUACUCUAGCAAGUGUUAGCUCAAUUAGAAUGGUUUCAGGAUGACAUAAAAGCUAUCGCUUAUAUCUAACAAUCCUAAGGCAAGUUCUAGGUAGCUAAUCUAGAAUCAGGCAUUAAUGACAAUCCUAAAGAUUAGUAUCACAACUUAGAAAUAUAUAGUUGGGGAUAAUCCCUCAUAACCUAUUUAAACCCUAAAAUCUAACAAGAGAACUACUCAGACAUGACCAAGUAAUUCAUGACAGCAAUAAGGUAUGAAAACUGCAUUAGAAUAAAUGAUAGAUAUUAAUGGAGUUCCAAUCACAAAUAACUUUGAAUCUUCUCUCCAAUUUACUAAAAUUCCUAGAAAAGCUUUGAUGUAAAAUCAGUAAAACAAGAAAGUACAUUUUGCCUCUAACAUGUUGGCAAAGCUUAUAUAAUUAUGUUAAAACUCGUCAGGGGUAAUUUUGUAAAUUGCUGUAGACUUGUGCUCUAAGUCGGCUGAGACCAAACGGGCUUUCUGCGCGCUUCGCUGUUGAUCGAUGUCAAGAUGUGAACAUCGAUCGAUUAUUCCUCUUCAAUGUCGACCGAUGGUCGAGCUCGAUGGUUAUCUCGGGUGCUUACUCCAAAUUUCUCCAAAACGCUCCAAAAUCAUCAUUUUCCUCCAAAUCACUCCUGAUCUUAUAAAUAUGCUAAAUAGACUCUAGAAUAUAAUAAAUAGUUGUAAGAACACUUAUAAACCAUGGGUGAAAGUGGGUCAAGUCUAUGGUCUAUCAACUCCCCGAGACUUACCCUUUUGCUUGUCCUCAAGCAAAACACAUAGGCAGUCUCUCUGAAAGAGGUUUGAAAACAGUAGGGACUCACAUAAUUUCAAACUUAGUAUCAGCACCUUAGACAGUCCUAGUCUCAGAAGCACACUAUACCAUUUACUAGUCUAGCAACCAAGUUCAUCUAGUCAACAACCUAGCAAAUCAUGUCUGACAAUCUCCUCUACCAACCUCAAUUCUUACAUAAAUAAAGUGUAGGCUUUACCUUGGGUGUAUCGAUCACAGGAUGCAAGGAUGCUCAAACAAGUAUCUGGACCUGCAGGUAAGCAAUAGUUCAUAUCAUCUCUCUCUAUUAAUUCUUUCUCUCAGUCAAAGUCUGCUUAUAUUGCAAAAUCAUUGACCAUAAUUGGACAGGCUUCCAUGAAUCAAGCUUUAAUGGUUUUAGCCACCAAAUCCUGUUCACUUCUUUUUGACCUAUAUCCUAUGAUUAUUUGUGAAGCAAGCCUUAAUGGAUGUAGCCACCAAGUCAUGUUCUAAUCAUUUACCUAUAGAAUUCUUAUGAAACAAGCCUUAAUGGUUGUUGCCACCAAGUCCUGUAUGAAUUCCUUCCUAAUAAAUCUAUAAUAAUAAUAAUAUGUAUAUAUACAUAUAUAUAUAUUAAACUAUAUCUAAAAUUUUAUCCAUAAUUUCGAAAAUAGAGAGAGAGGGUGAUAAAUCUACACAAGGCUUUACCUUCCAAACUUGUUUGAAGAAUCCGAUCUCAUGUAUACCAAGCCCCAAAACAAGCAGAGUUGAGCUCAAUUAGGUUGGAGGUCAGCUUUGGUUCCUUCAAACACUCUAAGCAAGUGUAACAUAGUUGACAGGUUAAUCCACUUUGGUAUCUUUAGUACUAUCUGCAACAAGUAAGUCUAUAAUGGUGUGGUUAGAUAACAAGUAAAAUCAAUAAGUUCAUCAUCCCCUUCUUGACUUAAUAAAAACUUUUUGAAAACAUUUUAAUAAGACUCAUAAAUAAACUACUAUCAGUAAACCUCCCCCCAGACUUAAAACUACAUUUUUCCCAGUGUAAAUUCAGUCGGAGUUAUGGUGAGAACCAAAUCAUAAGGACUUAAUUUAACAAGUUAGAACGAUAUACCAAAAAGGGAUGGAUGUCGAUCGAUGUAAAGGUGUUGAUAUCAGUCGCGGUAGGUGACGUUCUGUCGAUCGAUGUCGGCAGUGUUUCGUCAGUCGAUUCUCACGGCAAUCGUCUACUCGGAUCUUUUUUUUUUAGGACCUGCAAUAAAAUAAAAACUAAUAGAAAUACUAGAUUAAUAAAAACCAGUUAAAUAUUACCUAAUAGUGGGUUGCCUCCCACUCAGCGCGUUGUUAUAGUCAUUUAGCUUGACUUUUGGAGGUGAUUUGGCUAGUAUUUUUGAAAGCUGGAACUUGCUGGAAAACAAGUAUCCAUCUCUUCUCUGCGCUUGUCGAACCAUGUACCAGUGAAGUCUCGCAUUGCUUCAUUUCCUCAGCGCCAUUUUUCCUGGAUUGUUACAGUUGUGUUUUCUAUCUUCUGCAAUCUAUCUCCAAGACUCUCGAGGUUUAACUGAUGUAUAAUAAGUGUGGCGUAAGUUUCAGCUGAUAUCUCCUCUCCAUGGUUGUGUGUAUCAGACAUCUCUGAUGUCACCGUUGGUACUAGCCUGCCUCGGUUUGUAGCGUCGUCGACCGAUGUUUGUUUCUGAAUGUCGGUCGAUUUGUUGUUGCGUCUGUCGAUCGAUGCAGAUGUUUCUGGUCGACGGGCGAUGUAAAUCUGAAUCUCCACUAAUUCCCUUUGUAUUGCUUUUAUCUUGGAAGUCAAAGAACUCAUGCUAAGGUUUAGUGGGAAAUAGAUGUCAUCACAUCUCCUAUCAAGCCUCUCUUUUGUAGUUUCCAGAGUUCGGUAGAUUUCUUCUACCAACUAAUCAAUCUCUGCUCAGGUGUGAAAAUAUGGUUGAGACUUCAUCGGGAAUGAGUUCUUUGGGUCGUCGUCGAUCGAUGUGGAGUAGUGCCUGUCGAUCGAUUCUGGUCGAUGUCUGUCGGCUGCAUGCUGAAUUUUAGCUAUGUCUUGCCUCAUCUUCCCCAUGCAUGUAGUCAACCAACUAAUGCUAUCAUUCAGUGGAUAGUAGACACCAUCAAGCUUCAUCUGGAAAUUACCUUCAUUCUUUUCUUGGGCUCCACAUACUUCAUAGAACAUCUCAUUGAUCUCGUCUUUGGUGUAGAUCUUUGGUACCAGCUUGGUCUGUGUGAAUGAGCUAGCAUGUUCUGGAAGACAUAUGUAGAUGUGCUCAUCUCUCGAAGCUCUUUCCAUUAGCUUUCUGAUAUCAUCCUUGGACACAUUGAUGACGUGUCCAUCCACAUCUCUUGCGCAUCCCUGAUCGUCUCUGUAGAAUCCAUACUCAUCCUUAUCUUCCCAGUAGAACUUUUUAGUUCCAAAAAGGUCAAUGGCUCUUCUGCCAAGUUUUGGACGUCUGUCGAUCGAUGGAGGGACAUCAACGACGAUUGACGGUCGAGUUGGAUGUUUAUAUUUCUACUUGAAGCGAUUGUCUAUGCCACCAUCUGUGUCACAUAACUCUCUCUGCUGAUCUUCUGGGACGGUGCGUUGUUGCAUGAAGAGAUUAUCUGCUCCAUUAGCCAUCUGGGUCCCUGAAAAUACCAAAUUCAUCCUGUGUUAAAUACUGGUUAUCAUAAUUAGGGUGUUCGCUUAGAGUGGAUGAUGGUUUCAGACGGAUGUCGAUCAGUGAUGGAGGUUUUUCGUCGAUCGAUGGUCAUCGAUCGAUGGGCGGUUUGCACUGUCGAUCGAUUCUUGGAUUUCUCUGUCGAUUGCUACACGUCUGUCUGCGUCAUCACGUCUUUUCAUGUUGGGAAGUUCUUCAUGUGUGAAACCCUUAUGCAUUUCAUCUGCUCCUGGCUCAGGAAUUGUUGUUUCUACUGCAUAGCUUUCGUGAUGGUGAUCAUCUGCCCCACUGCCAAUCGAGUAGUCUCCUUCUCGUAUAUGGUCGACUCCAGUGUCGAUUGAUGGGAAGUAGGCAAUGUCAGUCGAUACUCGGUUUCGGCUUGUCUGAUGAGAAUGAGUGUCAAUCGAUGUUGAGCAUGUUCUGUAGAUCGACGGUGCAUUCCUUUUCCAAGAGGAAUGGUGGAGAAGUCUAUCUUCCUCAUCGAGAACGGCUUUGUACUCUAUAGCUCGCUCCUUCUCAUAAUCUUCAUCAUACUCCUUCGUAUGCAUGGUGUGUCUGAUGUGUGCUACCAUAGUGGGGCUGUAGUAGUCGUUCUCCCAAUCUUCUGGACUACUGUUGACCGAUUCUUCUUUGGGUGUGUCGGUCGAUUUCUGGUGGGAACUGUCGAUUGAUGUUGCAGUGUGAGUUUCGAUCGACGCCGAGUAUUCUUUUUCGUACUCAGCUCCACAGUGGCAUGCUGCAAUGAGUUCUGGAUCAUUAAUUCUUCUGGAGGACGUUUGUGGCUUCUUGACUGGAAUAGGAUUGUAGUGGACAAGUGAAUAUAUGAGUGUCAGGCACAACUGGUUAGUUUGCAAGUUGCACAUUGCUCCUACUAUUGACAAGAAAUCACUCCCAAGUAGUAGAGAAGAGUUCCAGUUUAGCUUGAUAUCCAAGACAUGGAAAUCAACUGGAACUAGGGCAUUACCAAUCUGCACCUUUAGGUCUCUCACAACUCCUCCUGAGCUGCUCUGAGAACAAUCCACAAAAGUGAAUGAUUCCUUAGAAGGCUCCACCUGCAGACCCAGAUGGUCUGCCAUAACCCUAGGUAGGAUGUUGACUGAUGCUCAUGUGUUGCAUAGAGCAUGUGGGAACUCAAUACCCUUCACCGUACAUGGUAUUGCAAAUUGCCCAGGAUCACUCUUCUUCGGCAGUGUAAUCCUCUUCUUCAUCUUUUCUCUAGCUUCACAGAACAUUCUCCUAAUGUCCUCUUCGGUCUCUCUGGUUUCUCUGAAGAACAUCCACAAUCUGUGGGUUAAAUAAGCCUCCUCGAAUGGCUUUUCUAGAUGAAUCCUAAAGACUAUCUUUUGGAUACUUUCUCUUUCCUUUUCAUUAGCCCCCCUCUUCAGAUGUUACGCCACUUUUUCAUUUCUUUUCCUCAGGGUUCUUCCCAUAGGAACCCUAUCAAUUUCCAUCGGAUCUGCUGCAUCAUCUGAAGGUGUCCUGACGGCCUAUGGUGGGUUAUCUGAAGGUUUGGGUUGUGGCCUGAGUGCAUUGAGACGUGCAACGUCUAUCUUUGGCAUCUGCACUCAGUAUGUAAGAGGUGAUUGUCUAUCGAUGGGCGCUGGAGGUUGUCGAUCGAUGGCGGCCUUUCUCUGUCGAUCGAUGACGGGUUCAGAAUGUCGAUCGAUCUUGACGUAAACAGGGCUGGGCGGAUGUGGGUGUUUUGCUGCGAACUCCUCGUGAGUAAUGAUCCUCACGGCAUUGCAAGAUGCGGUCGACUCUGUAGGUGUCGUCGAUCGAUGCUCUGGAGAGCCUGUCGAUCGAUUUUGAUUGAAGUUUGUCGAUUGAUGUUUAAAGUUCGGCAUCGAUCGACACCAAUGCGAUCCGCCGAAACUCAUCAAGCUUUCUACUUCGAAAUCUCCUUCUUGCAGCUUCUCCUACUUCACCACUUGCCAGAAAUCAUCAUCUAUGAUGGCAUUCACGUGGUGCUUCAUCACAUCAUCCCUUGCCCUUCUUGUUAAGGCUUCUUGCCUCUUAACAGCUUCUCCUGUAUGAACAACCUUCAUCUCCAGAUUCUUCACAUGAGUGCUCAAAGUUUCAUAGUUUGUGUUCAGGUUGGUGUAGACAGAAUCAAUCUUCCCAUUGAAGUCCACCGUCAUGCGCUGCUGUCCCUCAAGAACUCUGUCAAGGAUCUCUUCAAUCGUGCUCUCUUGAGUAGGUGGUGGUAGCUUCUGGUAGUAGGAGUUUCCAAAACCCCUAUUGUUGCUGUUGUAGUUGUUGUUGUAGGGUUUCUGGUGCUGCGAACUUUGGUUAAAAUUACCCAUAUUUCAAUAGGAAUUUCUGUUUCCACCCUGGUUUCCAGAACCUUGGAAUCCAGUUCCACCAAUGAAGUUCACAUCCUCUUCUACCUCUGCUCUGCCCUCUGUUUCUACAGCCUCUGCAUCCUCAACCAAGCAGACCUACUUCCUGAGAAGCCUGGAACACUGUCCAGUUUUGCCUUCACUUCAUCCAUCUGGUCAUUCCCAAGAAUGGCUGAAAAUCUCUUCAUCUCAAAGUCAGUGUUCUUGGUGCUGCUGUUGGAUGCUAAGUUCUCAAUAACUUUCACUGCCUCCUCUGGAUUCCUGGUGUUGAAGUUCCCAUUGCUGGAAGCAUCAUGAGCCAUCUUAUACUGCACCGCGAUGCCUUUGUAGAAAGUACUGAGCAGUUGUACUUCAUUGAAUCCAUGGUGUGGACAGUCUCUCUAAUAAGACUUGAAUCUAAUCCAGGAGCUUCUGAAUGAUUAUGCAGGCUCCUGAGUGAAUGUAGCAAUCUUGCUCCUCAAGUUUUCAGCACGCGCCUCAUCAAAGAAGUUGCAUAAGAAUGCAUUCUUAAUGUCACUCCAGGAUGUGAGAGAUCCUGGUGGUAACUGCUUAAGCCAAUGCGAAGUAUCUCCAGCAAGUGAGUACUUGAAGAGCUUGCAUAGGAGGUAGUCUUCAGAGACUCCCUCGACCUUAAUAGCAGAUAUAAAAUCCUCGAACCUCUCCAGAUGGUCCAUAGGAUGCUCGUGAGAUAACCCAUAGUAGGGUGUCUGUCCCACGAGUGUGUAGUACUGCGGCUUCAACUCGAAAUUCCCCCUCUUAAUAGUUGGAAGGCGAAUGGCUGAUCUGUUGGUGUAGAACUGAUAUGGACGGUUGUAGUCAGCCAACGUUUUGUGUCGAGCAGCCUCAUCUACAGUUAGAGUAGUGCAUGUAGUAUCAGUAUCAGGCUCAGGGAUUGCAGCCCCCUGAGCGUCUAUCCUCUGACCUGUUGCAUUACGCAGAUGACCCUCCUGGUCAUACAGGUCUCCCUUAUCAUCACGUACAAGAAUCAAGGUCCCAACCAUGUCUCGCGGCUCAGUAUCGAUCGAUGUUCGGACUAAAGUGUCGAUCGAUAUCUGAUGGAAGGUGUCGGUCGACGGAAGAGUGUCUUCGGUCGACGGUGGAAAGCGAGUGUGGGUUGACAAGAUUGGUGUCGGGGUCGACGGUGGUUGACGAGAAUUGAUUGAUGAACUUGUGUUGUUUUGCACGGCAACGGCGCCAAAUUUGAUCUCACUCAAUCAAAUUACUCUAAAGAGUGAAUUACUCUCUCAAAUAAGAGGUUCAGUUGUAGUACUUAGGGAUCGAAUCCAUAGGGAGCUAAGGAACCUAAUGAAUCUAAUCAGAAUUGUUAAGCUAGGUGGUUUAAUGAUUUAAAUGUAAAUUUGCAGUUGUUGAGCAAGUAAUUGCUCGAUUGAUUGGUUGAGGUUUUGGUGCUUGAUAUACCAUUGAUUUUACCCACUUUCAGCCAUGGUAUAUAAGUGUUUUAAGAUGUAAUUAUUAUAUUUUGGAUUGUUUUUAGAGUAUUUACCGGUUCAGGUACAAUCUGGAGAAAUAUGGUGAUUUUGGAGCCAUUUGAGUGAAGAGCUGCACAGACGCGUCAGAUGUUGAGCUAUGGAUGGAGACCUUGCCACCAUUAGAUUGUGCCCAUCUUUUGAUAAAAAAUAUAUCUUUGAGUAGGAUUUCCAGUGCCGUUGGUUUGAGGUAAAUCUGCAUCCUGUAGCAGAAGUUAUGCAUGUUUUAAUAAAGAGUGGUCAGUCUGCCUCGCGUGAGGAAGCUGUCGAGGAGAUGCAUGACUGUAGAUCGAUGAAACAGUAUUGCCAUCGAUCGACAGUGAUGCCAGAACGUGGGCCAAUCAUAUUUCAAGACCGAUUGACGCCCAUAAGCCACACAAAGUUACCAAAAUACCCAUGGACGACCACAAACCCUAUUUAUGUAUUUCUAAGCUAUUGUUGACGGCAACACGCUUUCUAUUAUCCUAUUCUAUUGUUUUCUCUUAGGUUUGGAGAGAAGAUCAAUUCUCCUUCAGAGAUUAAUUGGAACUCCAUUGGUUUUAUCAUUGAUUUCUUUAUCUAUUAUAUUAUUCAGACUAUGAUUUGUGUUAUUGAUUCUAUGUAUGAGUAAUCAUCUUGUUAGGUUUAGGGAUUUCAUGAGCUUAAUGUCAAACUGAUAAUCAAUUAGGAUUGCUAGAUUAUUUAUAGAUCUCUACACCAGGGUGAUUUGUAAUACUAGGAUCUGGAAUAGUUAGAAUAGCACGACAGUGUGACUAAUUGUUUGAACCUAGAAUCAUAGGAUAGUUGAGAGGCACGAAAGUGCAAUCAAUUAACGGAACCCGAACUCUGCUGGAUUAGAUACCUAGGCGCAUACGAGAGUUGGUCUAUGAAUCUAGUUGAACUUAAACGAUUAGGUCUUUAAUGCUUGUCUGAGGAAGCAUCGAUCGACGCUCAGGUCAUAGCAUUGAUCAACGCUUGCUCCAAGUCAAUAAGCGACAGCUGAGACUGGACUUAGACAUCUGAUUAGCAAUUGCAUGCAAAAUCUGGAUUGCUUACUUAUUAAAAUCGAGUUCUAGAAUUGAAUCUAUAAACCACUGGCAUCCUUGAAUUUUAGUCUUGAAUCUCUUGAUUGAUAAAUCCCUAGGUCUAGCUAUUUCUCCUAAUUGUUUUAAACCUCAAUCAACCAAUCGAACAACUAAUUUGUUCACCUUGCUUUCAUUCAUUUACUACUUUAUAAACUGUUUGUCUAGCUUAAUCUUGAUUUCUAUAGUCUAUUGUGUGCCCUAGCUCUAUGUGGAUUCGAUCCCUAAGUACUACAAUUGAACCUCUUAUUUGAGAGAGUAAAAUCACUCCUUAGGGUAAUUUGAGUGAUAUCAAAUUUGGCGCCGUUGCCGGGGAGAAAGGAUUCGCCAAUAGACUUGAUUAAUAGGUUUAGUCUAGGUUUUAUUUACUGUCAUAGUUACUUACAUAAAAAAAUUUCUUGUCUUUCAGGUACAUGCCUAUCAGUACCAGGAGGAGCAAGGAGGAAUUACUUUUCUUCUCAGACCAAACACAUUUGGAAUGCUCGACUCGCAAAGAGAAACGCACAUCAUCGAUCGACACUACUCUACUACGUCGAUCGGUAUUACCUCUACUACGUCAAUCGACACCACCUCUAUUAUGUCGAUCGACACUUGUGACAGAGCAACGAUCCACAGUUCAACUCGAACAUCGAUCGACACCAAUCCGCGAGCAGACAUAGUCGUGACACUUGUGCUAUAGAGGGAUGAGUAUGGAGACCUGCAUGACCCUGGAGGUCAUCUGUGUAAUGCAGCAGGUCAGAAGAUAGAUGGACAAGGGACUGAAAUCCUUGAGCCAUCUGCUGUCACCGAGGAUGCUAAAGUUUCUCUUCAGAAAACACUAGCAGAUUUGAUAUGGCCUAGUCAGUCCUAUACCAACAGGUCUGCAAUUCGACCUCUAGAAAUCCAGGGAUUUCAAAUACAUCCCACACACUUCUCUCAUGUGGGUCAACACCCUUAUCGUGUUCUUCCUGAUGAAAAUCCAUCGGAUCAUAUUGAGACACUCAACGACUUUGUGUCUGGCAUCCAUGAGGAUGAAGCAACCAUAGACUACAUCAUCUGCAAGUUGUUCAAAUAUUCUCUCUCUGAGAAUGCGAAAAAGUGUCUGAGAUGCCUACCACCAGGAUCUCUCACUACAUGGAAUGAUGUCAGGACUACGUUUAUGAUUGAAUUUUUAGAUGAUGCAAGGGCUGAAGAGAUGAGAGAUAAAAUUUUGACAUUCUCUCAGGGAUCUACAGAAGCUUACAAAAGCUCUUGGGAGAGGUUUAAGAGAUACCAAAGGGACUGUCCACAUCAUGGUUUUACGGAGAUUCAGCUGUUGAAAAAGUUCUGCAAAGAUAUUGAUGUGCGAUAUAAUAUGAUGCUGGAUGCUGCAAGCGAAUGAAACUUCGAGACAAUGACCCUAGAGGAAGCUAAGAGACUGAUUGAAAACUUGAUGUCUAGCAACAGUUCCAAAAAUCUGGAUAUGCACAGGAUAAAAUCAGCUGCAAUGGAUAGUGACAAGAUCGUUGAGGCUGAAAUUGGUUAUGUACAUGAAGUUUCAUUGGUGGAACAAGAUGUAGAAAAGGAUGAGAAUCAGGACCAAAUUCAGAUGAUGGAAAAGAUCCUAAAAAUUCAGCAAAAGAUGAGUGCAUACUUAAAUCUGAGGUUAGAUGUUCUCUACAAAGAGCUGAAUGGAAAAUUUGAAACCUUAGAUGUCCAUGUCAUGAUGCUAGAUGCCCAGGUUUCUCAUACUGCAGAAGCUGUGAAAAAGCAAGAAGCUCUGGUCAAAGGGAAAGCUGUGGAAAGUGAGAAGCACGAGGUUAAUGCCAGCUCAGAUGAUGACCUUGGGGAAGUGCUCGAGCAGGAGAAGCUGGAAGAAGAUGCUUUCCUAGUCGAAAGCUCCAUGUCCAUAGGCAGCUCGUACUGGUGUCGACUGACACCAACAACUGAGCAUCGAUCGACAUCAACAGCUGAGCACCGAUCAACAUCAUCAGCCGAGCAUCGAUCGACACCACUUUUGGGAUCAGACAAAACUGUUCGAAUUCAGAGCCACUCAGAUUUUGCUGCUUGACACCCGCAUCCUCCCACCCUAGCUCGAGUUAAAUCAGAUAACGUCAAUCGGCAACAACACGAAAAAAUCGAUCGACAACAACAUGGAAGCGUCGAUCGACAACAGGAGAAGAGCAGCGAUCGACAACCAUCAAUGCCAUACCGAGUACGUUAACCAGAUCUUGAUGCACACCGCUUGAAGGCAACUCGAAAUCUAUCUCAGACAUCAGUUUGUUUGAAGACAACAGAGAAGAUAAGUCAGCAAUCUGCAGAAGCACCAGAGCAAGAGCAAUCAGCCCUAGCUGAAACCUCUUUCCUUGAGAGUGUCGAUCGACGACAUCUACCAGGUAUCGGUCGACACCUAAUAUCACUCAAAUUACCCUAAGGAGUGAUUUUACUCUCUCAAAUAAGAGGUUCAAUUGUAGUACUUAGGGAUCGAAUCCACAGAGAGCCAGGGCACACAAUAGACUAUAGAAAUCAAGAUUAAGCUAGGCAAACAGUUUAUAAAGCAGUAAAUGAAUGAAAGCAAGGUGAACAAAUUAGUUGUUCGAUUGGUUGAUUGAGGUUGUAAACAAUUAGGAGAUAUAGCUAGACCUAGGGAUUUAUCAAUCAAGAGAUUCAAAACUACAAUUCAAGGAUGCUAAUGGUUUAUAUAUUCAAUUCUAGAACUCGAUUUUAAUAAGUAAGCAAUCCAGCUUUCGCAUGCAAUUGCUAAUCAGAUGUCUAAGUCCAGUCUCAGCUGUCGCUUAUUGACUUGGAGCAAGCGUCGAUCGAUGCUAUGGCCUGAGCGUCGAUCGAUGCUUCCUCAGACAAGCAUUAACAACCUAAUCGAUUAAGUUCAACUAGAUUCCUAGACCAACUCUCGUAUGCGCCUAGGUAUCUAAUCCAGCAGAGUUCGGGUUCCGUUAAUUAAUUGCACUUUCGUGCCUCUCAACUAUCCUAUGAUUCUAGGUUCAAACAAUUAGUCACACUGUCGUGCUAUUCUAACUAUUCCAGAUCCUAGUAUUACAAAUCACCCUAGUGUAGAGAUCAAUAGAUAAUCAAGCAAUCCUAAUUGAUUAUCAGUUUGACAUUAAGCUCAUGAAAUCCCUAAACCUAACAAGAUGAUUACUCAGACAUAGAAUCAAUAACACAAAUCAUAGUCUGAAUAAUAUAAUAGUUAAAGAAAUCAAUGAUAAGACCAAUGGAGUUUCAAUCAAUCUCUGAAGGAGAAUUAAUCUUCUCUCCAAACCUAAGAGAAAACAAUAGAAUAGGAUAAUAGAAAGCUUGUUGCCGUCAACAAUGGCUUAGAAAUACAUAAAUAGUGUUUCUGGUCAUCCAUGGUUAUUUUGGUAACUUUGUGUGGCUUAUGGGCUUCAAUCGGUCUUGAAAUAUGCUUGUCCCACGUUCUGGCUUCACUGUCGAUCGAUGGCAAUGCUGUUUCAUCGAUCGACAGUCAUGCAUCUCCUCGACAGCUUUCUCUCGCGAGGAAGACUGACCACUCUUCAGUAAAACGGGCAUAUCUUCUGCUACAGGAUUUUGAUUGACCUCAAACCGGCGGCAUUGGAAAGCUAACUCAAAGGUAUAUCUUGUGUCGAAAGAAUUUCUAAAUCUAACGGUGGGAAGGUCCCCAUACAUAGCUAAACAUCUUACGCGUAUGUGCAGCUCUGCACUCAAAAGGUUCCAAAAUCACCAUAUUUCUCCGGAACGUACCUGAACCUGUAAAUACUCUAAAAAGACUCCAAAACAUAACAAUUACAUCUUAAAACACUUAUAUACCAUGGCUGAAGUGGGUAAAAUCCAUGAUAUAUCAACUCCCCCAGACUUACCCUUUUGCUUGUCCUCAAGCAAAACAGACGAGUCUCUCUGAAAGAGGUUUGAAAACAGCAUGGACUCACAUGAUUUAAAACUUAGAAUCAUCACCUCUGUAAUAUUGCAAUCCACAUCUAAGAAUUCAUAAUCACAAAAGCACAUUAUACCAUAUCCUAGCUUAGCUACCAAAUUCACCUAGCCAACAACUUAGCAAAUCAUGUCUGACAUUCCCUUCUACCAACCUCAUUUCUUAACAUAAAUAAAGUGCAGGCUUUACCUUGGGAGUAUCGAUCACAUGAUGCAAGGAUUUUCAAACAAGUAUCUGGAUCUACAGGUAAAACUUAGUUCAUAUCUUUUCUCUCUACUAAUUUCUCUCUUUAGUCAAAGUCUGCUUCCAUUGCAGGAUCAUUGACCAAGAUUGGAUAGGCUUCCAUGAAUCAAGCCUUAAUGGUGGUUGCCACCAAGUUCUGAUCAUUUCUUUUUGAACUGUAUCAAGGAAUUCAUGUGAAUCGAACCUUGAUGAUUGCCGCCACCAAGUCCCGUUCGAAUUCUUUUUGUUGGAAUCCUUAUGAAGGAAGCCUUAAUGGUUGUAGAGAGAGAAAAUGUGAUAAAUCUACACAAGGCUUUACCUUCCAGACCUGUUUGAAGAAUCCGAUCCCAUCUAUACCAAGCCUCAAGACAAGCAGUUGUGUCAAGUUUAGUGUUGGAGGUCAGCUUUGGUUCCUUCAAACAAUCUCAGCAAGUGUGAAUAGCUGAUAGGUUGAUCCACUUUAGUAUCUUUAGUACAAUCUGCAAUCAGUAAGUCUAUAAUGGUCUAAAGAGUGGUUAGAUAACAAGCAAAAAUCUAAUAAGUUCAUUAUCCCCUUCUUGACUCAAUAAAACACUUUUGAAAACAUUUUGAUAAGACUCAUGAACACACUAAUAUCAGUAAACAUCCCCAAGACUUAAAUUACAUUGUCCCCAGUGUAUAUCUAGUCGGAGUUAUGGUGAGAAAUAAUCAUAAGUACAUAAUUUAACAAGUAAGAACGAUGACCUGCUCGCUGAUGUCAGUGUCGAUCGACACAAUGAAGUGACAAUCCAUCGUUGGAUCUGAAGUGAUGUCGAUCGAUGUCGAGCUGGUCUCAUCGGCCGAUGUACUGAGCAAUCGUCUACUCGGAUCUGUUUUUUUUUUUAAUAUCUAACUCAAACACAAUAUUAGUUGAACCUCCCCCAGACUUAAACAAUACUAUCUCCAGUGUUAUACAGUCUAAGAUUGGUGGGGAAAUAAAUCAUAAGGACAAUAUUUAACAAGGAAAAACGGUAUACCUGACUUUGAUGUGAGUGUCGACCAAUACAGUUAAGUGGCGAUCAAUACUCUUGAAGCUCUGUCGAUCGACACAGUUAAGUGGUGAUCGACUGAUACUAGUGAUGCUCUGUCGAUCGAUGCUGCGCAGCCAUCGUCGAUCAUCGUGCAAACUCAUCUUCCUCGGAUCUUUUCCUUUUACCUAACAUAAAUAAAACACUAAAAGUCAGUAAUAGAUAACUAAUAAAACCAAUCCAAAAUUUUUUUUUCGAUGAACACUGACUGCUACUAAGCUCACUAGAUCAGCUCUCGCCUUACUCUAGCAAGUCUUAGCUCAAUUAGAAUGGUUUCAGGAUGAGAUGAAAGCUAUCGCUUAUAUCUAACAAUCCUAGGGCAAGUUCUAAGUAGCUAAUAUAGAAUCAGGCAUAAAUGACAAUCCUAAAGUUUAAUAUCACAACUUAGCAAUCUAUAGUUGGGGCUAAUCCCUCAUAACCUAUUUAAACCCUAAAAUCUAACAAGAGAACUACUCAGACAUGGCCAAGUAAUUCAUGACAGCAAUAAGGUAUGAAAACUGCAUUAGAAUAAUUGAUAUAUAUUAAUGGAGUUCCAAUCACAAAUAACUUUGGAUCUUCUCUCCAAUCUACUAAAAAUCCUAGAAAACCUUUGCUGUAAAAUCAGUAAAACAAAAAAGUACACUUUGCCUCUAACAUGUUGGCAAAGCUUAUAUAAUUAGGUUAGAACUCGUUUGGGGUAAUCUUGUAAAUUGGUGAAGACUUGGGCUCUAAGUCAGCUGAGACCAAACGAGUUUUCUGUGCGCUUCGCUGUCGAUCGAUGUCAAGAUAUGAACAUCGAUCGAUUAUUCCUCUUCAAUGUCGAUCGAUGGUCGAGCUCGAUGGUCAUCUCGGGUGCUUACUCCAAAUAUCUCCAAAACGCUCCAAAAUCAUCACUUCCCUCCAAAUCACUCAUGAUCCUAUAAAUAUGCUAAAUAGAAUCUAGAAUAUAAAAAAUAGUUAUUAAAACACUUAUAAACCAUGGAUGAAAGUGGGUCAAAUCCAUGGUCUAUCACGGAGCCCACAGACGACACAUGGCC